This 117-nucleotide ribosomal RNA is filed under the name Nitrospirota bacterium. The record is from RNAcentral. Lineage: Bacteria; Pseudomonadati; Nitrospirota.
UCCGGUGGCGUUACCGAAGGGGAAACACCCGUUCCCAUUCCGAACACGGAAGUUAAGCCCUUCAGGGCCAAUGAUACUAUGACCGUGAGGUCAUGGGAAAGUAGGACGCUGCCGGAU